AAAAAUCUAUAUGAAAAAAUUAUAUAUAUAAAUAAAUUUUUAUGAUUUAUGAAAUUUAAUUUAAAUUUAUUUUACAUGUAAAUUUUAGUGUUAAUUUUUAAUUAUUUUAAUAAUAAUUAUUAAUAUUUACAGUAAUUAAAAUUAAAAAUUUAAGAAAUUAAGAUUUAGUAAUAUUUAAUUUUAUUAACAAAUUUUGUGCCAGCAGUUGCGGUUAUACAAAAAAUAAUUUAAAUUUUAUCAGUAUAUAAUUAAUAAGCAUUAUUAUUAAAUUAAAUAUUAAAUUAUUAAGUGAAAUUUUAAUUUAAUUAAAAUUUAUAUUAAUUUUAUGAUUUAUUAAAUUUUAUAAAAAACUAGGAUUAGAUACCCUAUUAUUAAAAAUUAAAUUUAUGAUACUAAAAUAGUAGAUAAUAAUUUAUUGAAACUUAAAUAAUUUGGCGGUAUUUUAGUUCAUUUAGAGGAAUCUGUUUAAUAAUUGAUAAUCCACGAAUAAAUUUACUUAAUUUAUUAUUUUGUAUAUCGUUGUUAAAAAAAUAUUUUUUAUUAAAAAUAAUAUUUUAAAAUUUUCAUAUAAAAUUAAUUCAGAUCAAGAUGCAGAUUAUAAUUAAGAAUAUAAUGGAUUACAAUAAAUAAAUUUAAAUGAAUAAUAUUUUUUAAUAAAUAUUUGAAGGUGGAUUUAAAUGUAAUUUUAAUUAGUUUAUUAAAAUGAUUAUAUAUUAAAAUAUGUACAUAUUGCCCGUCGCUUUCAUUAAUAAAUUGGAAUAAGUCGUAACAAAGUAGAGGUACUGGAAAGUGUUUCUAGAAAGAA
This 805-nucleotide ribosomal RNA is filed under the name Parnassius szechenyii. Its description in RNAcentral is "12S ribosomal RNA". Lineage: Eukaryota; Metazoa; Arthropoda; Insecta; Lepidoptera; Papilionidae. The record is from RNAcentral.